UACGAAGGGGGCUAGCGUUGUUCGGAAUUACUGGGCGUAAAGCGCGCGUAGGCGGCUUUGCAAGCCAGAGGUGAAAUGCCUGAGCUUAACUUAGGAAUUGCCUUUGGGACUGCGAGGCUUUGAGGACGAGAGAGGUGAGUGGAAUUCCCAGUGUAGAGGUGAAAUUCGUAGAUAUUGGGAAGAACACCGGUGGCGAAGGCGGCUCACUGGCUCGUUUCUGACGCUGCAGCGCGAAAGCGUGGGGAUCAAACAGG
This 254-nucleotide ribosomal RNA is filed under the name uncultured bacterium. Its description in RNAcentral is "partial 16S ribosomal RNA". It matches the Rfam family "Bacterial small subunit ribosomal RNA", at positions 524 to 776 of the family's 1533-position model. The record is from RNAcentral.